Molecule: small nuclear RNA, 20 nt
Filed under: Arabidopsis thaliana (thale cress)
Lineage: Eukaryota; Viridiplantae; Streptophyta; Magnoliopsida; Brassicales; Brassicaceae
Description: snRNA_07235
Source: RNAcentral
AGUCGGGGGAAACCCGUCUG